Sphaeramia orbicularis (orbiculate cardinalfish) is the source of this 909-nucleotide long non-coding RNA. RefSeq lists it as uncharacterized. NCBI's taxonomy places the organism in Eukaryota, Metazoa, Chordata, Actinopteri, Kurtiformes, Apogonidae. The transcript is spliced from 4 exons. The record is from RefSeq and is a predicted model, not a curated record.
UUGCCUGCGGCGCAGUCCACUCAACAUUUACUGUAUUUCACGCGGGGAACAGCAACAAGAGCCUCCGGAGAAGCUUGACGGGGAAUACCGGGGAAUAUCUGACAGCACACACAUACACACACAACCUGUAUUUUUCCUUCCUUUUCCAAAUAAAGCCGGUUUUUUAACGGGUUGAUGUGGACAAACUAGCGCGCGCUCGGGUCAGUAGGACAGCGGCUCGUGCGCGGACUGGUGUCUUGUCGGUGGGAGCGUCUUUUUAUUUUUAUAUUAUUAUUAUUAUUUAUUUAUUUUAAUAUCUAAAUCGGUCCUGGAGAAGAACAGACCACAUCAGGAGGAAAAAGGAAAAAAAAAAAAAAAAAGCAGAAGACAGCCCCGCGUGAAAGUGAUCAAGAGUCAGAAUGAAUAACAACAAAAUCGAGAAGGAGAACGAGCAGAGUGAAUUCACCAACCACGAAGAAGAGGUCCGAACGCUAUUUGUCAGCGGGCUACCACUGGAUAUUAAGCCGCGGGAGCUCUAUCUCCUGUUCAGACCAUUUAAGGGCUAUGAAGGCUCCUUGAUAAAACUCACCUCUAAACAGGAUUAGCACCUUUCAUCAGGAAGUACCUGGAAUAGAAAGAAAAGAAAAAAGUUUACUGGCAGGGGGGAUAGGAAAAAGUGUUGCACCAACUUGCCUUUGGCAAUCAGAUACUCUUCUUAUAGUCACAGUCAGUCAACUCCGGUGGGAUGUACAGAGAUGGGAGGGGAGACAGAGAAGAAUUUUGAGGUGUCAAAGGAAGCAUUUUGACAAGAGCAGAACUGACGUUGAGUUUAGCCUCCAGGGGUUCAGGACUGAAAAUGAGCUCAGCUGGCAGGUGUCCAUGUUCAGAGUUAAGCAAUUUAGCUUCAUGUCAGUGUACUUAUUAGCACAU